UGCAGUCGAACGAAUCCUCACCGCUGUAGCAAUACAGUGGUGAGGGAAAGUGGCGAAAGGGGCAGUAAGGCGUGGGUAACCUACCCCGGGGACCGGAAUAGCCAUCCUAACGGGUGGGUAGUGCCGGGCGAUAUGGCGAGGCCGCAUGGUCAUGCCAUGAGAUGAAUUUCGCCUCGGGAGGGGCUCACGUGGUAUUAGCUAGUUGGUGGGGUAACGGCCUACCAAGGCGAAGAUGCCUAGCGGGUGUGAGAGCACGACCCGCGCCACUGGCACUGAGACACUGGCCAGACUCCUACGGGAGGCUGCAGUCGAGGAUCUUCGGCAAUGGGCGCAAGCCUGACCGAGCGACGCCGCGUGCGCGAUGAAGGCCUUCGGGUUGUAAAGCGCUGUCGAGGGGGAGGAAAGCCGGGUAACCGGUCUGACUAAUCCCUGGAGGAAGCACGGGCUAAGUUCGUGCCAGCAGCCGCGGUAAGACGAACCGUGCGAACGUUGUUCGGAAUCACUGGGCUUAAAGGGCGCGUAGGCGGGCGGCCAAGUCAGGAGUGAAAUCUUUCGGCUCAACCGGAAAAGUGCUCUUGAUACUGGCUGUCUUGAGGGAGAUAGGGGCAUGUGGAACUUCCGGUGGAGCGGUGAAAUGCGUUGAUAUCGGAAGGAACGCCGGUGGCGAAAGCGACGUGCUGGACCUCUUCUGACGCUGAGGCGCGAAAGCUAGGGUAGCGAACGGGAUUAGAUACCCCGGUAGUCCUAGCCCUAAACGAUGGGUACUAGGUAGUAGACUUGACAUGGGUUUACUGCCGAAGCAAAAGUGCUAAGUACCCCGCCUGGGGAGUAUGGUCGCAAGGCUGAAACUCAAAGGAAUUGACGGGGGCUCACACAAGCGGUG
RNAcentral lists this ribosomal RNA (883 nucleotides) under uncultured Planctomycetia bacterium. RNAcentral's name for it is "bacterial SSU rRNA". It matches the Rfam family "Bacterial small subunit ribosomal RNA", at positions 56 to 934 of the family's 1533-position model. Lineage: Bacteria; Pseudomonadati; Planctomycetota; Planctomycetia. The record is from RNAcentral.